UGCCCAGCAACUCCUAUCCCUAUUUCCUCGUGGUACUGGCCGGGGUACGAGCAACCUUAGGGAAGAUCGGCUAACCAAUUCCUUUCGGGACUUUGGUUGUAUUCUGACAGGUAAGG
This 116-nucleotide ribozyme is filed under the name Aedes aegypti (yellow fever mosquito). RNAcentral describes it as "drz-agam-1 ribozyme". It matches the Rfam family "drz-agam-1 ribozyme". Lineage: Eukaryota; Metazoa; Arthropoda; Insecta; Diptera; Culicidae. The record is from Rfam by way of RNAcentral.